Molecule: ribosomal RNA, 506 nt
Filed under: uncultured bacterium
Lineage: Bacteria
Description: partial 16S ribosomal RNA
Rfam family: Bacterial small subunit ribosomal RNA
Source: RNAcentral
ACUCAAAUGAAUUGACGGGGGCUCACACAAGCGGUGGAGCAUGUUGCUUAAUUCGAAGCAACGCGAAGAACCUUACCUGGGUUUGACAUGCUUGGAUUAGUCGCUGGAAACAGUGAUGACACUCGCAAGAGUGGAACAAGCACAGGUGCUGCAUGGCUGUCGUCAGCUCGUGCUGUGAAGUGUCGGGUUAAGUCCCUUAACGAGCGCAACCCUUGUCGCUAGUUGCUAACAGGUAAUGCUGAGGACUCUAGCGAGACUGCCGGUGUCAAACCGGAGGAAGGCGGGGAUGACGUCAAGUCCUCAUGGCCCUUACAUCCAGGGUUGCAAACGUGCUACAAUGGUGCGUACAGAGCGACGCGAGACCGCGAGGUGGAGCAAAUCGCAAAAAACGCACCCCAGUUCGGAUUGCAGGCUGCAACUCGCCUGCAUGAAGCCGGAAUCGCUAGUAAUCGGGGAUCAGCUACGCCCCGGUGAAUAAGUUCCUGAGCCUUGUACACACCGCCCGU